Molecule: ribosomal RNA, 492 nt
Filed under: uncultured bacterium
Lineage: Bacteria
Description: partial 16S ribosomal RNA
Rfam family: Bacterial small subunit ribosomal RNA
Source: RNAcentral
AGUGAACGCUGGCGGUAGGCCUAACACAUGCAAGUCGAACGGCAGCACAGUAAGAGCUUGCUCUUACGGGUGGCGAGUGGCGGACGGGUGAGGAAUACAUCGGAAUCUACUUUUUCGUGGGGGAUAACGUAGGGAAACUUACGCUAAUACCGCAUACGACCUACGGGUGAAAGCAGGGGAUCUUCGGACCUUGCGCGUUUGAAUGAGCCGAUGUCGGAUUAGCUAGUUGGCGGGGUAAAGGCCCACCAAGGCGACGAUCCGUAGCUGGUCUGAGAGGAUGAUCAGCCACACUGGAACUGAGACACGGUCCAGACUCCUACGGGAGGCAGCAGUGGGGAAUAUUGGACAAUGGGCGCAAGCCUGAUCCAGCCAUACCGCGUGGGUGAAGAAGGCCUUCGGGUUUUAAAGCCCUUUUGUUGGGAAAGAAAAGCAGCAGGUUAAUACCCCGCUGUUCUGACGGUACCCAAAGAAUAAGCACCGGCUAACUUCGUG